RNAcentral lists this ribosomal RNA (173 nucleotides) under uncultured bacterium. Its description in RNAcentral is "partial 16S ribosomal RNA". It matches the Rfam family "Bacterial small subunit ribosomal RNA", at positions 1319 to 1500 of the family's 1533-position model. The record is from RNAcentral.
CAUGAAGCUGGAUUCGCUAGUAAUCGCGCAUCAGCCACGGCGCGGUGAAUACGUUCCCGGGCCUUGUACACACCGCCCGUCAAGCCAUGGAAGCCGGGAGUGCCUGAAGUACGCGACCGCAAGGAGCGUCCUAAGGUAAAACCGGUGACUGGGCUAAGUCGUAACAAGGUAGC